Molecule: ribosomal RNA, 253 nt
Filed under: uncultured bacterium
Lineage: Bacteria
Description: partial 16S ribosomal RNA
Rfam family: Bacterial small subunit ribosomal RNA
Source: RNAcentral
GACAGAGGGUGCAAACGUUGCUCGGAAUCACUGGGCGUAAAGGGCGUGUAGGCGGGAAGGAAAGUCAGAUGUGAAAUCCCUGGGCUCAACCCAGGAACUGCAUUUGAAACUCCCUUUCUUGAGUACCGGAGAGGAAGGUGGAAUGCCUGGUGUAGAGGUGAAAUUCGUAGAUAUCAGGCGGAACACCAGUGGCGAAGGCGGCCUUCUGGACGGUAACUGACGCUGAGACGCGAAAGCGUGGGGAGCGAACAGG